This 492-nucleotide ribosomal RNA is filed under the name uncultured bacterium. RNAcentral describes it as "partial 16S ribosomal RNA". It matches the Rfam family "Bacterial small subunit ribosomal RNA", at positions 29 to 507 of the family's 1533-position model. The record is from RNAcentral.
AGUGAACGCUGGCGGUAGGCCUAACACAUGCAAGUCGAACGGCAGCACAGUAAGAGCUUGCUCUUACGGGUGGCGAGUGGCGGACGGGUGAGGAAUACAUCGGAAUCUACUUUUUCGUGGGGGAUAACGUAGGGAAACUUACGCUAAUACCGCAUACGACCUACGGGUGAAAGCAGGGGAUCUUCGGACCUUGCGCUAUUGAAUGAGCCGAUGUCGGAUUAGCUAGUUGGCGGGGUAAAGGCCCACCAAGGCGACGAUCCGUAGCUGGUCUGAGAGGAUGAUCAGCCACACUGGAACUGAGACACGGUCCAGACUCCUACGGGAGGCAGCAGUGGGGAAUAUUGGACAAUGGGCGCAAGCCUGAUCCAGCCAUACCGCGUGGGUGAAGAAGGCCUUCGGGUUGUAAAGCCCUUUUGUUGGGAAAGAAAAGCAGCAGGUUAAUACCCCGCUGUUCUGACGGUACCCAAGGAAUAAGCACCGGCUAACUUCGUG